CGCAAUCGCCCUUCGGGGUGAGCAGGCGCGAAAACUUUACAAUGCGGGAAACCGUGAUAAGGGAACUCCGAGUGCCCGUAAAAUCGGGCUGUCCAUCUGUUUAAAUAACAGGUGAAGAAAGGGCCGGGCAAGACCGGUGCCAGCCGCCGCGGUAAUACCGGCGGCUCGAGUGGUGGCCACUAUUACUGGGCUUAAAGCGUUCGUAGCUGGUCUGUUAAGUCUCUGGGGAAAUCUACUGGCUUAACCAAUAGGCGUUUCAGGGAUACUGGCAGACUAGGGACCGGGAGAGGUGAGGGGUACUCCAGGGGUAGGAGUGAAAUCCUGUAAUCCUUGGGGGACCACCUGUGGCGAAGGCGCCUCACCAGAACGGCUCCGACAGUGAGGGACGAAAGCUGGGGGAGCAAACCGGAUUAGAUACCCGGGUAGUCCCAGCCGUAAACGAUGCGCGUUAGGUGUAUCGGUGACCACGAGUCACCGAGGUGCCGAAGAGAAAUCGUGAAACGUGCCGCCUGGGAAGUACGGUCGCAAGGCUGAAACUUAAAGGAAUUGGCGGGGGAGCAC
RNAcentral lists this ribosomal RNA (561 nucleotides) under uncultured archaeon. RNAcentral describes it as "bacterial SSU rRNA". It matches the Rfam family "Archaeal small subunit ribosomal RNA", at positions 313 to 879 of the family's 1478-position model. The record is from RNAcentral.